UCGGGAAUUUUGGGCAAUGGGCGAAAGCCUGACCCAGCAACGCCGCGUGAGUGACGAAGGCCUUAGGGUUGUAAAACUCUUUCGUCGGGGACGAUAAUGACGGUACCCGAAGAAGAAGCUCCGGCUAACUUCGUGCCAGCAGCCGCGGUAAUACGAAGGGAGCUAGCGUUGUUCGGAAUCACUGGGCGUAAAGCGCACGUAGGCGGAUAGUUAAGUCAGGGGUGAAAUCCUGGGGCUCAACCCCAGAACUGCCUUUGAUACUGGCUGUCUCGAGGUCGAGAGAGGUUGGUGGAAUUCCUAGUGUAGAGGUGAAAUUCGUAGAUAUUGGGAAGAACACCAGUGGCGAAGGCGGCUAACUGGUCCGGUACUGACGCUGAGGUGCGAAAGCGUGGGGAGCAAACAGGAUUAGAUACCCAGGUAGUCCCUGAGCGGGCUGGCAAGGCGCAU
Molecule: ribosomal RNA, 447 nt
Filed under: uncultured bacterium
Lineage: Bacteria
Description: bacterial SSU rRNA
Rfam family: Bacterial small subunit ribosomal RNA
Source: RNAcentral